Molecule: long non-coding RNA, 868 nt
Organism: Xenia sp. Carnegie-2017
Lineage: Eukaryota; Metazoa; Cnidaria; Anthozoa; Malacalcyonacea; Xeniidae
Exons: 2
Source: RefSeq, a predicted model, not a curated record
CUGUCAAUUGAGGAAGGUCGUGGAAGGCUGUCUGGAAGUGUUCAAUAACAUGAGCAAGAAACCCAUCAAAAAAUCUUGUAUUGUUUAGGCAAAACAAGAAACAAGAAACUUACAUCGUCAUUGUUCUUAUAAAAUGUCUAGUUGCAGGAGGUUACACCAAAUAUAAUGGCAAAGAAAAUUGUUUUGUUUCGUUUCGUUUUAAAAGACUCAUUAUUUGGCAUUUUUUUCUGUCAUUACCAACGAUGUGGAGUACAAUUUUAUGUAACAAAGCAUAUGAAUUUUUGUCUUUCAUUUUGCAUAUAUUGCACGUACAUCUGUCAAUCAUGCACUUUCAGAUUUUACAUCUGAAUUUGUAUUGUACUGCAUUGGCGAAGGAAAGGAGUAAUUUAUGAGCAGCACAACCCUGCAACAUAGGUGGUUGAGGGCAACAAUUAUACAUUCUAAAUAAGGUGUCAGGCAUUUCUUACAAAACAAAAAAGAGUGAGCAAUUCAAGGAUUAUACAAAGUUUUGUGCCAAAUGUAUAUCUUGUACGUCAUCAAGUUUUAUGAAACAGCCACCUGCGAAUGGGUAUGGCGGAAAUUUCAUAGUACCGUGAAGUAUUGUUAUGAUUGUUAUAGUAAGAUUUGUUCGUUGGAAGAUUACUUAGCAAUCGCUUCAUAAACAAAAAAAUGGUGCACGUAUAUUGCACAAACAGAAUUGAUGUAAUUUAACUACAACCAAAUAACCUCUGACAAAAAAGCAACCACUGCCACCAUCUUUUCGUCACGUGAUUUAAGUGCGUGACGUUUUAACACCCUCCGUACGAUUAUUAUGACUUAUGUUAUAUUUAUGCAAUAAAACUAAUAAUCCUUUUAUUAUGAACAAAAA